Molecule: ribosomal RNA, 497 nt
Filed under: uncultured bacterium
Lineage: Bacteria
Description: partial 16S ribosomal RNA
Rfam family: Bacterial small subunit ribosomal RNA
Source: RNAcentral
GAUGAACGCUGGCGGCGUGCCUAAUACAUGCAAGUCGAGCGAACGGACGAGAAGCUUGCUUCUCUGAUGUUAGCGGCGGACGGGUGAGUAACACGUGGAUAACCUACCUAUAAGACUGGGAUAACUUCGGGAAACCGGAGCUAAUACCGGAUAAUAUUUUGAACCGCAUGGUUCAAAAGUGAAAGACGGUCUUGCUGUCACUUAUAGAUGGAUCCGCGCUGCAUUAGCUAGUUGGUAAGGUAACGGCUUACCAAGGCAACGAUGCAUAGCCGACCUGAGAGGGUGAUCGGCCACACUGGAACUGAGACGCGGUCCAGACUCCUACGGGAGGCAGCAGUAGGGUAUCUUCCGCAAUGGGCGAAAGCCUGACGGAGCAACGCCGCGUGAGUGAUGAAGGUCUUCGGAUCGUAAAACUCUGUUAUUAGGGAAGAACAUAUGUGUAAGUAACUGUGCACAUCUUGACGGUACCUAAUCAGAAAGCCACGGCUAACUACGUG